AUGAACGCUGGCGGCGUGCCUAAUACAUGCAAGUCGAGCGAACAGACGAGGAGCUUGCUCCUCUGACGUUAGCGGCGGACGGGUGAGUAACACGUGGAUAACCUACCUAUAAGACUGGGAUAACUUCGGGAAACCGGAGCUAAUACCGGAUAAUAUAUUGAACCGCAUGGUUCAAUAGUGAAAGACGGUUUUGCUGUCACUUAUAGAUGGAUCCGCGCCGCAUUAGCUAGUUGGUAAGGUAACGGCUUACCAAGGCGACGAUGCGUAGCCGACCUGAGAGGGUGAUCGGCCACACUGGAACUGAGACACGGUCCAGACUCCUACGGGAGGCAGCAGUAGGGAAUCUUCCGCAAUGGGCGAAAGCCUGACGUAGCAACGCCGCGUGAGUGAUGAAGGUCUUCGGAUCGUAAAACUCUGUUAUUAGGGAAGAACAAAUGUGUAAGUAACUAUGCACGUCUUGACGGUACCUAAUCAGAAAGCCACGGCUAACUACGUG
RNAcentral lists this ribosomal RNA (496 nucleotides) under uncultured bacterium. RNAcentral's name for it is "partial 16S ribosomal RNA". It matches the Rfam family "Bacterial small subunit ribosomal RNA", at positions 29 to 507 of the family's 1533-position model. The record is from RNAcentral.